AAGGAAUCUGAAACACAGCAAAACCACCAAGCUGCAUCCUCCAGGUAGACACCCCCGAAAUGUGGCAUUUCCGUGGGAAACCACAAUGAAUCACUCUUUGGCUGUCCGGCCUCUCUGCCCAGUCAGAGAUUGAUUUUGGUUUUCCCAAACUUUGUAAAGCCGCCCCAGACUGUUUAACAACCUCCCCACCAUACCCGGACACUCAGAUUAAGAGCAAAAUCCCAAAUUUCGUGAGGUUUUCCGUUUCAGAUUUCAACAGAAGGGGGUCUGCCACAGCCACGAACCAUAUCCUCUGCAGAGAGCAGUUUCUGAAAUGCUGCGAAGAAAAACAAUCGCCCAACGAUUAGGAGGGAAAUGAAGUUCUAAAGAAAGACUACGUCUCUGACUUUGAAAGUAGACAUAGAUAUGCACAAUAUACAUCCCACAAAUUAAAAUCCUCCUUUCUCUGAUGUCUUUUAAUGGCAAUAAUUAAGGACAAGCAUGGCUAUCAUUUAUUUGGGAGUUUCCAAUGUGCCAGUCCCUGUCUAAACAUCGGUUUCCAGAUCAAACCUAUGAGGGUGGAAUUAACGUCCAUUUCAUAUUUAAGCAAACUGAGGCUCAGGAAAGUUGGGUUACUCAAGGUAACAUGAGUAGAAAAAAAGGCCAUAUUCCAAUGGGACACAGAGCCUGCAGCCCACAUUACUCUCCAUACUGUUCCUAUAGUAUCCUGACUGGGAAGGUCCUGUUCCCCUGGCACUGGGCAAAAUGAGGAAAUUAUAAGAGCAGAGAGGAAGGGGUGAAAGGGGGCAGCCUGGUGAAGUCACUCCUUUACUGAAAAUAGGGGUAACGGCCAGGACAGUGCAGGUCCAUCCUCUGCAGAUGGAAGACAGGCACGUCCUUUGCCGCUGUCCCGGCCUUAGAAAGGCACCUUCCGCGUCCAGGGUUUUCUGUGGAUAAAUCCCACCCCUUCCACCUCUGGCAGGGAGGAGGCCGGCCGGCCAGGGCAUGGGGCGGAAAGCGAAGGACGCCCGACCCGGGCCGAGGUCUGGGGCCCCGCUCGCGUCCCCCGCGUGGCUGCCGGCGGGCCAAGGGUUAAGCGAGGCGGGAGCCCCCGGCGCGGAGCGGCUCGGGGCUGGGAAUGCUUAGUCAGGAUUCCGAUUUCCUGUCGAAGUGUUUGGAUUUCCUGAAACCCGCGCCCUCCGCCGCCGAGCGGGAUUGUGCGAGCCGCUCGCGUCGCCGCGGCCUCCUCCCCCUCGGCACAUGGUCGCCCGCCCCUUCCUGCGCCGCGCUCGGCUCCCGCGCCUCGCCUGGCCUGGCCGCCGCCGCGGGCAAGCACUCUGCGCUGGGCAGCCCCGGGCCCGCGCCUCCCGCCCCGCCGGCGCUUCCCGGUCGCAGUUCGCUUUCCCACCCGAGAGCCGCGAGCGCCUGGCCGAGCCCGCGAUGGAAUAAUGCCCAGCGGCCCGCCAGGUCCCGGUUGUGUUGGCCUCCUUGUGCAUUGCAUUGAGAGGAUAUUCAGACUGAAGGGGAGAAGCACUGAUUUUGAAGGAUGAAAAAGGAACAAUCUACUCAGGUGACUGAGGCAGGAGGAUCGCUUGAACCUGG
Molecule: RNA transcript, 1581 nt
Organism: Cercocebus atys (sooty mangabey)
Lineage: Eukaryota; Metazoa; Chordata; Mammalia; Primates; Cercopithecidae
Gene name: proline-rich basic protein 1-like
Exons: 3
Source: RefSeq, a predicted model, not a curated record